Molecule: ribosomal RNA, 253 nt
Filed under: uncultured bacterium
Lineage: Bacteria
Description: partial 16S ribosomal RNA
Rfam family: Bacterial small subunit ribosomal RNA
Source: RNAcentral
UACGUAGGGGGCUAGCGUUGUCCGGAUUUAUUGGGCGUAAAGAGUGUGUAGGCGGCUUGGCAAGUCUGCUGUGAAAACUCGAGGCUCAACCUCGAGCUGUCGGUGGAAACUGCUUGGCUAGAGUCCGGAAGAGGAGAGUGGAAUUCCUGGUGUAGCGGUGAAAUGCGCAGAUAUCGGGAAGAACGCCCGUGGCGAAGGCGGUUCUCUGGGACGGUACUGACGCUGAGACGCGAAAGCGUGGGGAGCGAACAGG